GACGAACGCUGGCGGCGCGCCUAACACAUGCAAGUCGAACGAGAGAUGAGGAGCUUGCUCUUCAAAUCGAGUGGCGAACGGGUGAGUAACGCGUGAGGAACCUGCCUCAAAGAGGGGGACAACAGUUGGAAACGACUGCUAAUACCGCAUAAGCCCACGGCUCGGCAUCGAGCAGAGGGAAAAGGAGCAAUCCGCUUUGAGAUGGCCUCGCGUCCGAUUAGCUAGUUGGUGAGGUAACGGCCCACCAAGGCGACGAUCGGUAGCCGGACUGAGAGGUUGAACGGCCACAUUGGGACUGAGACACGGCCCAGACUCCUACGGGAGGCAGCAGUGGGGAAUAUUGCACAAUGGGGGAAACCCUGAUGCAGCGACGCCGCGUGGAGGAAGAAGGUCUUCGGAUUGUAAACUCCUGUUGUUGAGGAAGAUAAUGACGGUACUCAACAAGGAAGUGACGGCUAACUACGUGCCAGCAGCCGCGGUAAAACGUAGGUCACAAGCGUUGUCCGGAAUUACUGGGUGUAAAGGGAGCGCAGGCGGGAGAACAAGUUGGAAGUGAAAUCCAUGGGCUCAACCCAUGAACUGCUUUCAAAACUGUUUUUCUUGAGUAGUGCAGAGGUAGGCGGAAUUCCCGGUGUAGCGGUGGAAUGCGUAGAUAUCGGGAGGAACACCAGUGGCGAAGGCGGCCUACUGGGCACCAACUGACGCUGAGGCUCGAAAGUGUGGGUAGCAAACAGGAUUAGAUACCCUGGUAGUCCACACCGUAAACGAUGAUUACUAGGUGUUGGAGGAUUGACCCCUUCAGUGCCGCAGUUAACACAAUAAGUAAUCCACCUGGGGAGUACGACCGCAAGGUUGAAACUCAAAGGAAUUGACGGGGGCCCGCACAAGCAGUGGAGUAUGUGGUUUAAUUCGACGCAACGCGAAGAACCUUACCAAGUCUUGACAUCCCUUGACGAACAUAGAAAUAUGUUUUCUCUUCGGAGCAAGGAGACAGGUGGUGCAUGGUUGUCGUCAGCUCGUGUCGUGAGAUGUUGGGUUAAGUCCCGCAACGAGCGCAACCCUUAUGGUCAGUUACUACGCAAGAGGACUCUGGCCAGACUGCCGUUGACAAAACGGAGGAAGGUGGGGAUGACGUCAAAUCAUCAUGCCCUUUAUGACUUGGGCUACACACGUACUACAAUGGCGUUAAACAAAGAGAAGCAAGACCGCGAGGUGGAGCAAAACUCAGAAACAACGUCCCAGUUCGGACUGCAGGCUGCAACUCGCCUGCACGAAGUCGGAAUUGCUAGUAAUCGUGGAUCAGCAUGCCACGGUGAAUACGUUCCCGGGCCU
This 1332-nucleotide ribosomal RNA is filed under the name uncultured bacterium. Its description in RNAcentral is "bacterial SSU rRNA". It matches the Rfam family "Bacterial small subunit ribosomal RNA", at positions 28 to 1381 of the family's 1533-position model. The record is from RNAcentral.